GAUGAACGCUGGCGGCGUGCCUAAUACAUGCGAGUCGAGCGAACGGACGAGAAGCUUGCUUUUCUGAUGUUAGCGGCGGACGGGUGAGUAACACGUGGAUAACCUACCUAUAAGACUGGGAUAACUUCGGGAAACCGGAGUUAAUACCGGAUAAUAUUUUGAACCGCAUGGUUCAAAAGUGAAAGACGGUCUUGCUGUCACUUAUAGAUGGAUCCGCGCUGCAUUAGCUAGUUGGUAAGGUAACGGCUUACCAAGGCAACGAUGCAUAGCCGACCUGAGAGGGUGAUCGGCCACACUGGAACUGGGACACGGUCCAGACUCCUACGGGAGGCAGCAGUAGGGAAUCUUCCGCAAUGGGCGAAAGCCUGACGGAGCAACGCCGCGUGAGUGAUGAAGGUCUUCGGAUCGUAAAACUCUGUUAUUAGGGAAGAACAUAUGUGUAAGUAACUGUGCACAUCUUGACGGUACCUAAUCAGAAAGCCACGGCUAACUACGUG
This 497-nucleotide ribosomal RNA is filed under the name uncultured bacterium. RNAcentral describes it as "partial 16S ribosomal RNA". It matches the Rfam family "Bacterial small subunit ribosomal RNA", at positions 28 to 507 of the family's 1533-position model. The record is from RNAcentral.